RNAcentral lists this ribosomal RNA (253 nucleotides) under uncultured bacterium. RNAcentral describes it as "partial 16S ribosomal RNA". It matches the Rfam family "Bacterial small subunit ribosomal RNA", at positions 524 to 776 of the family's 1533-position model. The record is from RNAcentral.
UACAGAGGGUGCAAGCGUUAAUCGGAAUUACUGGGCGUAAAGCGUGCGUAGACGGUUAUGUAAGUCGGGUGUGAAAGCCCCGGGCUCAACCUGGGAAUGCCAUUCGAGACUGCAUAGCUAGGGUGCGGAAGAGGGAAGCGGAAUUUCCGGUGUAGCGGUGAAAUGCGUAGAUAUCGGGAGGAACACCUGAGGCGAGGGCGGGUUACUGGGCUGAUACUGACGCUGAUGCGCGAAAGCCAGGGGAGCAAACGGG